Molecule: long non-coding RNA, 6706 nt
Organism: Anas platyrhynchos (mallard)
Lineage: Eukaryota; Metazoa; Chordata; Aves; Anseriformes; Anatidae
Source: RefSeq, a predicted model, not a curated record
GCCAGCUGUGCUCUGUAAUCACAACGGUGACAGCACACAGCAAGCCAGCUCUGAGUGAGACUGUGGUGGUGCACAAACAGGAGCUUCUCCUGGCUCAGAGCUUCACUGGAGAAAGCCAGUCCCUUGCUUUCCUAGAUCGGAGAGGCCUGGCUCAAUUCCAGAGAGAUUAAAGGCUUCUUGCACCGUGGAACAGAGGUGUUACCUGCGUGCAACCCUCACUGACUGCCAAGUGUUGGGAAACCUGUGACUUCAGAACUGGUACGAAAAGGCCACUGAGCUGCUAAAAUCCCACAGCAUCCGAGCCUCAGCAGCCAGAUUGCUCCCUGCACCUCCUUCCCCUGCCACAACAAAAAGUGAGCAGCCCCGAAGCCGAUGCUUGCAACUGCGGAGCAGUUGAAAUUGCACAGGGCCUACUUCCAAGCCUGUCAUUGUGCAAGUCUGGGAAAGGCACCAAUUCUUCCCAUGUCCCCGACCCGCCCCCCAGGUGAAACAAAACACCCACCAAGCAGCAGGCUGGCUUGUCUGAAGGAAUUAAUAGCUAUCAAAUGAUUUCGGUUCCACAUGGUCUGUCAAAGCCAUUAUUGGGAGUUUGACACUGGUUAUCACCCGUUCCUCCAGAAAGAAAGGGUAAAGAGAGGCAACACCAGGCAACUGCAGCAUGACCUAGCCUCGGAGAAGGAUUUGACAUCGUGCAGAUAUUUAACAGCAACAUUUAUCCAGCAGGACUGACGUUCACUAGACUGGAACCAGGCAAUCUGGUGUCUCGUAGUCGCCCUCUUAGCUCCUAAGGCUCAGAGCCCCGAAAGAUUUAAGCAUCUAAAAAAUGUCAGCUGCCUGAAACCUAACUACCUUUGAAGAGCAGGGCCUCAGGGUAAGCCUGCUAACCAGCAGAGCCCAACCUUAUGCCACGGGGAACGCCAGCCCUGAUGUCUCACCUGAUACCUGGGGGGAAGCAGCCGAGGAUCCGGAGCCCACCUGGUUAAUGAAAGCAGCAUAGUAUCUUGCUCCUUAAUAGGGAGGUGUAAUCAAUGUUAAUCUUUUGGGUGUGCUACUAAAUACCCAAAGGGGAUGUUUGUUUUGCAAUUUCCCUCUUCCCUAAUGGCAGCUUUUCCCUGCCCUGCACAAUCAGUCACCCUGCAGUUCACAGCUAUAAAUAUUUUUGCUUGCUUGAUAGCUGCAGUCUGUCAGUGUCUUCCAGCUUGAGCUUCACCUCAUCCAUUAUCCAGGGCUGCCUUGUGACAGAGCUCCCGAGCUGACCUUCUCCUGUUACGGUGCGCGGGCUGUUGGCAUUGUGCAGGCUUCCCUCCACGCUCUGGAUGCCAAGCUGAUCCACACCAGGCACCUGAGGAAGCAGCAUCAAAGGAGAGCAAGCUCCUGCCUUGGGCAACUCGGAGGAGAUGCGAGCUGUUUGCCUGAACCACCGAGACAGCAGAGAUGUCCAUCUCGGAGGAAGAUGGAUGAGACAAGGAGACAGGGCAGGCUGAGGAGGGGCACAGAGCAGGAAAAGGACAGGGGGGUGGUCAUGAGAAGGGAGGGCAGAAGCAUGGGGUGGGGGAGAAGUGAAGCAACACAAGCAGUGGGGGAGAGGCGUGGUGUCUAGGGAGGAAUAGGUUUGAAAUAAAGGAGCAGGGUGCCUGACGGUGGGCAUGGCUUAAGGUCAGGGACGAAGGCUAGCUGAGGUGAGGAGACAGCGUACGUGGAAGAGUGGAGAUUAAAUGGAAUAAGAUGAACACAGCUGUGGGUAUGGAUGGAGAAAUCUAACUGCAGAUACACUGACUUCCAGCUAUGGAAGCAGUUUUGGAGUUGCUAUAUGGUGGACUUAGCAAGGGCCCAAAAAAAUCCAACCCCCUUGAUUGGGGGCUCAAGAAAUGUCUUAACGUGAUGUCUGUGACUGCAGAGGAUUAAUCCUCAUCACACAGAGAUUCUUCUCAGGCAUAAAGCUUGGGAGGCUCGGGGAUAGCUGGCGAGUAAGCAGCAGAAGAAGAUAGUGUUAGGAUUUAUGGGGAGAAAGGAGCAGAAAGGGUCUGCAGAGAAUAAGAAUGGAUUAAAGGAAGAGGACUUUUGUGCUAGCAUUGUUCCUGGCUUCUUGGGCAGCUGUGUGCAAGUGCCCUAGAUGAAGCUGGCUUUGCUGCAGGCUUUCCAGCUAAUGUCAUUUUAAUUUCUGACAUGUCACUAAUGGAGAAAUAUUUAACAUGUAUUUAUUCAACAUCACUAAAAAUACCCCGGCAGUCAUGGGGGAAGGAGGAUAGGGCUGAUCAAUGGGGGGAGGCGGGGAGAGGACUCUUCUGUAGGGACUCGGAUGUGGUGCUUGCAAAUGGGGUUUGGAAAGCAUCUCUCCCAGAAACCUUUGCCGUGAAAACCUGCUGUCAAACGUCACACCGGAUCGGGGAGGGAAGUAGCUCUGUACCUGGCAGAUUCUCAUUAGGAACAAAUACUGUUUCCCUGGUAAUGAAGGAAAGGCUUAAUCCAUUUUCAUUCCAGGUGUGUUCAGUAUGCUCAGCGGGGUGAGUCCCUUCGCCACUGUUAAUGCUCGCUGUGUUCGCAGCGAGAGGUCACCCGGCAGGUCUCGGUGUGUUUCACCACGUCUGCAGGAAGCAGGGGGCAGUGGGUCAGCUUGGAGACAGCUGGGGAUGUCACGCUCUUCCCCCUUCUCCGGCGUGGUGCAAAGCCACGUUACUGGCUCCUGUCUCAUGCUCCUCCCUCAUCUCUGCACGGGGAGCCUUAGACCUACGAGGAGGGGUGGCUGCAUCUCGCCCCAUGUCUGGGCAGUGCUGGGAAGAGGAUUUAAUCCUUCCCGGGCCAGCAGUGACCGUGAGGUCCUGACUCCUCCAGCCACUGACUGGACUUUUGGUCAGUAAAUCACAAUCCUCAACAGAGCUGCCUGCAGUGUGCAGCUCUGUCCCUGGGCUUGCUCAUUAGAGAUGGGCUCGCAUGAAACGCUAAGACUCGAGCCUCCAUAAGCACCAACGGAGUUCGGAUCCAGAUGAGACAGUGCUUGGAUGCUUCGGUGAUUGGCACCUUAGAAAUUACACAGAUAGACGGAGCACUCUGGAAAUUGAUGGGACUUUGCAGCUUUGGCUCUUCUCUGCUAGUUAUAAUUAUUUAAGAUGAAGUUUCACAUCGCAUUCAAACUCCUGUGCAGAUAGCAGCGGCAGAGAACAAGGGAUCUCAGCCACCUAGGAGAGGAUUAUGUGGAUAUGACAACGUUCAAACCCACUGGGCUCUGCCACGCUGCAUUAUUUAAGCCCAGGAACCAAAUUUAGUAACCAGCCCCUGAGGCACUGAGCGAAAAACAGCUUCCAGAGCUCCCUUCCCUCACAGCCCUCUUGGCUUCCUCCCUUAAAGGAGCCAUCCUUCAAGGCUUUUUCCUCCCUCUUCCCAGCUCUGUCCCUCUUCCCUCUGUCCCAGCUCUGGGCCUUCGGGAUGCAGGGCACGGUGGCUGCAGCUGUACAGGGAAGCACGAGCCCGGGUGCUGAGGGCGUUAGCGCUGCCCACUCUGCCCACACCACGAGAAGCGUUCCAGGCUCUCACCUUCCUGGGAGCUUGGCAGCUCCAGCAUGUGCCUGCUGGUAAAGUAUGUGGGGAGAAGCACUUCUGGACACACCGACAGGCUCGGGCUUGUGCCUGGCUAAGCUCGCUCCUCGCCUGUGCUUGGUGACCAGGCGCCAAGCCACAGCAGGCCCUCACCUCCCUGGUAGGACAGGAGCGCCCACGUCCCCGUACGUGACCCAGCUCCCCAAAUCUGUGGGAAGGAGAGGUGGGACGAGGCGAAUAUUUAACCAGCACCGUGUCAAGUGCAAACACACGUCCGCCGUGCUGCUUGAUCAUCGUGGGGCAUUGAUCUCCUACAGGCGUUCGAGGCAGCGUUACUCCCCGUGGAUUCUGGCAGGGCUGGCUCGGGACAGCCAGCGCUUCCCUCAGAGGUCAUUGCAGUAAAAGCCAAGCUGGGCCUCAGGGAGCCACAAAAUAGCGCUGAGACCUGCCGGUGCUGCAGGUGACUCCCGACACCGCGGUUAUUAACUGCAAGGCGUGCCCUCUCCCGGGCGGCGAUCGGACGCCACAGCCUCUUAAAACUGUCUGCCGCCGUCGUCUCUUAGAUCCCUCCCUGGCCUCCAGCCCAAUGCCCUGGAGGCAGCGAGAUGGAGCUUGCUGUUUACAAACACAGCCUUUUAAAACCUUGUGCGGAAUGAGAAAAAGGAGCAAACCCCGCUGAAGUGCCCUGGGAGGAGCAGAUCUAAUCACAGCGCGCUGGAACAUCUUCCCCAGCCUCUCCUGGCCUGGGCGAGCCACGGCUGAGCUGCCGGGGUGAGGAGCAGUGGCCGGCGAAGGCAAAUGGUGAAGGAAAGAGAGGCUUUGGGGCUGCGUGGAUGUAGCAGCCAGCCCACAGGAUGGUGCCGGCAAGCGGGCGAAGCUCAGCAUGAGCCAACCUCAUCCCGUCAGCUCUCGCCUCAUCUGCACAGGCCAAGGGGCCGAGGGGCUGUGCCUGCGAGGACAGCGGCAGCAGCUUGGGUCCCUGGGGAGCCGUCCUCAUCCCACACGGCUCCCCCGGGGCGCUGCCAGCUGCUGGGCGUGCCGCCCCAGCACGGGGGAUGUUCUGUGAAGGCCCUUUACUAGAAUCCUUCCUGAGGUCUCGUCUCCAGGGGGGGGAAAUUCCCCAGCCCCGCUGUUGUGGGAUACGCUAUUCUGCAAGAACUUUUAAAAUAGCUGCCCGUGGGGACGUGGCAGGCUGGAAAAAGAAACAAAAAACACUCAUUUUAUUCUGCUGUGAUCACUCCGUUUUGUGAGCCGGGCCCUUUGCCCUCCCUCCCUCCCUUCCACUGGAAAUUGGCGCUUUGCAGGCGAGGGUUUGAGGGCCGUGGUGGCCUGGCUGUGCGGGCUGCAGCCCUCUCCUCGCUGCUUCCAGUCGAGCACUGCGCCGUGCAGACGUGCAGAGCUCGCGUGUGUCUCUCUCUUGGGAUGGGACGCGGCUCCUCAGCCCUCCCGAGGGAGCUGCGUGGAAGCCAAGCUGUGAAAGCACAAACUUUUGCCUGCUGGGAGCACGGCAAAGCCUGGCAGGCACGCGCAGCAGCACCGAGAGCACCUCGCAGGAAGGGCAAGGCGUGAGGCUGUUGGUGUGAAGCUGGCUUGCCUUGGGGCUAGCAGCCUGCUGGCCACCAGGAGCAGGCUCAGGAGAGACACCACAAGCAGGGGCUGAGCUCUGCCCUGAAUCCCCUGCCCCACGAGGCAGGUGCUGCUGGUGCGAAACCUUUCCCAUCAGAUGAGCACCGGGCCGAAGCCGUGGCUCAUCAGUGGAUUCUCUCCCCUGCAGCUCUCAUUUCUGAGAGAUGAUGAUGUAUUUCUUUUUGUUUCUUUUUUUCCGGGCAGUCAAGAACUAACCUCCGGGAUCCGGCUGCUUACGAGGCACGGAGAGAGUUUCUAAAAGACGGUGAUAAAGAGUACGUGGGUGCCGGGGGAGGAGGAAGGCGGGGAGGGGGAGAGGAGGGAUACGUAUGUCACAGCUUACCUCAGAGCCAGAAUUAGAAGCCGGGUUUAAAAAAAAAUAAAAUAAAAUCACAGCAGGAAAUAAUGUGUGGCUUAAAAUAGCAACAUCAAAUGGGAGCGAGAAUGGGGAGUGGGUGGCAUUUGAGGUUGCUGCUCUGUUCCUCCCUCAAUGGCAGGGUGAUUAAUAUGUCUACGCUCCUUGUGUUUAUGUAACAAAGGGCACCAAAGGCCAGAGCUGCAUUUUCACUAGCACUGCAGGGGAGUCUGUGAAUCUGUUCUUCCACCCGUAGCAUCAAGUGGGAGGCUCUGCACUUGCACUUCCUGCCCCAGAAACAAACAGAAAAAAACUCAUCCACGCCGCAGCGGGGCACACGCAGUCACGUUUCCGUGGCUGGGCAGGGUGCAGCGGAGACCCUUCGAGGCUUUGAAGGUUCGCCCGCCCCUCGCUGCUCCCCACAGCCCACAGAGAAAGGUGGGAGGGUGUGUGAAGAGAGCCCAGGGGUGCAGGAGGCUCAACCCACUUGGGACACAGGCACCUGCCAAAAUACCUGCUCGGAGGCGCACAGCAUGAGGGCAGAUCUGCCGCAUGCUAAAAACCUGCUGCCCAGAGCUGAUUCUCUGACUCUCUGACACCAGUGAGUGUCCGGGACGUCGGUCGGGGCGUGCUGCUGUCGGGGUUAGGGGAAUCGGGCCCAGCUGUGAGGCCGCUCUCCCCGCAGGCAGGCAGGCAGGCAGGCAGGGCGGCACGCGGUGUUUGAACACAGCUCGCUGGUGGCUGCAGGCAGGGAGCGCUCCCAGCCACUCCACCAACGUGCACGAUAUCCUGCCAGUCAGCUCCAGCCGUGGUAAAUAUCUCCACCGUGCUUUCCCUCCAAGCAAACAGAGUACCUGCGUGGAAGAAAUUCCUCAAGACGCUUCCUGUCUGGAGCCCAAGCUUGCCAGGGACCGAAUUUCCUGUGAGGCUGGAGCUGGGAAUGCAAAGCAAAGAAGCGAACAAGAAAAUGCGGUGAUACACACUUGGACCCGCUCUACAAAGAUCCUCCUCAGCAAGCACGUUUCCCCCCUGUUCAAAUAAAAAGAAAGCAGCCGGAUUUCCAAAUAACGGCGGGGCUAUUUUUCUUUAGUAAUCCUUAUUUUUACCCCACUGCUCCUCUUUCUGCCUGUUUUUCUUUUUCUUUUUUUUCCAGCUGCGAUUCUGUGCCUUACACAUCCUGAAAAUGAAAGG